RNAcentral lists this ribosomal RNA (468 nucleotides) under uncultured bacterium. Its description in RNAcentral is "partial 16S ribosomal RNA". It matches the Rfam family "Bacterial small subunit ribosomal RNA", at positions 28 to 507 of the family's 1533-position model. The record is from RNAcentral.
GACGAACGCUGGCGGCGUGCUUAACACAUGCAAGUCGAACGGAAAGGCCCUGCUUUUGUGGGGUGCUCGAGUGGCGAACGGGUGAGUAACACGUGAGUAACCUGCCCUUGACUUUGGGAUAACUUCAGGAAACUGGGGCUAAUACCGGAUAGGAGCUCCUGAUGCAUGGUGGGGGUUGGAAAGUUUCGGCGGUUGGGGAUGGACUCGCGGCUUAUCAGCUUGUUGGUGGGGUAGUGGCUUACCAAGGCUUUGACGGGUAGCCGGCCUGAGAGGGUGAACGGCCACAAUGGGACUGAGAUACGGCCCAGACUCCUACGGGAGGCAGCAGUGGGGAAUAUUGCACAAUGGGCGGAAGCCUGAUGCAGCAACGCCGCGUGCGGGAUGACGGCCUUCGGGUUGUAAACCGCUUUCGCCUGUGACGAAGCGGGAGUGACGGUAAUGGGUAAAGAAGCACCGGCUAACUAUGUG